Molecule: ribosomal RNA, 643 nt
Filed under: Proteus mirabilis
Lineage: Bacteria; Pseudomonadati; Pseudomonadota; Gammaproteobacteria; Enterobacterales; Morganellaceae
Description: bacterial LSU rRNA
Rfam family: Bacterial large subunit ribosomal RNA
Source: RNAcentral
UAUCCUGUCUGAAUAUGGGGGGACCAUCCUCCAAGGCUAAAUACUCCUGAUUGACCGAUAGUGAACCAGUACCGUGAGGGAAAGGCGAAAAGAACCCCGGCGAGGGGAGUGAAAAAGAACCUGAAACCGUGUACGUACAAGCAGUAGGAGCCUCUUUAUGGGGUGACUGCGUACCUUUUGUAUAAUGGGUCAGCGACUUAUAUUCUGUAGCAAGGUUAACCGUAUAGGGGAGCCGUAGGGAAACCGAGUCUUAACUGGGCGAAUGAGUUGCAGGGUAUAGACCCGAAACCCGGUGAUCUAUCCAUGGGCAGGUUGAAGGUUGGGUAACACUAACUGGAGGACCGAACCGACUAAUGUUGAAAAAUUAGCGGAUGACUUGUGGAUGGGGGUGAAAGGCCAAUCAAACCGGGAGAUAGCUGGUUCUCCCCGAAAGCUAUUUAGGUAGCGCCUCGUGAACUCAUCUUCGGGGGUAGAGCACUGUUUCGACUAGGGGGUCAUCCCGACUUACCAACUCGAUGCAAACUGCGAAUACCGAAGAAUGUUAUCACGGGAGACACACGGCGGGUGCUAACGUCCGUCGUGAAGAGGGAAACAACCCAGACCGCCAGCUAAGGUCCCAAAGUCAUGGUUAAGUGGGAAACGA